AGUCGAGCGGCAGCGGGGGGAAGCUUGCUUCCCCGCCGGCGAGCGGCGGACGGGUGAGUAAUGUCUGGGAAACUGCCUGAUGGAGGGGGAUAACUACUGGAAACGGUAGCUAAUACCGCAUAACGUCGCAAGACCAAAGAGGGGGACCUUCGGGCCUCUUGCCAUCGGAUGUGCCCAGAUGGGAUUAGCUAGUAGGUGAGGUAAAGGCUCACCUAGGCGACGAUCCCUAGCUGGUCUGAGAGGAUGACCAGCCACACUGGAACUGAGACACGGUCCAGACUCCUACGGGAGGCAGCAGUGGGGAAUAUUGCACAAUGGGCGCAAGCCUGAUGCAGCCAUGCCGCGUGUGUGAAGAAGGCCUUCGGGUUGUAAAGCACUUUCAGCGGGGAGGAAGGGAGCAGACUUAAUACGUCUGUUCAUUGACGUUACCCGCAGAAGAAGCACCGGCUAACUCCGUGCCAGCAGCCGCGGUAAUACGGAGGGUGCAAGCGUUAAUCGGAAUGACUGGGCGUAAAGCGCACGCAGGCGGUCUGUUAAGUUGGAUGUGAAAUCCCCGGGCUUAACCUGGGAACUGCAUUCAAAACUGACAGGCUAGAGUCUCGUAGAGGGGGGUAGAAUUCCAGGUGUAGCGGUGAAAUGCGUAGAGAUCUGGAGGAAUACCGGUGGCGAAGGCGGCCCCCUGGACGAAGACUGACGCUCAGGUGCGAAAGCGUGGGGAGCAAACAGGAUUAGAUACCCUGGUAGUCCACGCUGUAAACGAUGUCGAUUUGGAGGUUGUGCCCUUGAGGCGUGGCUUCCGGAGCUAACGCGUUAAAUCGACCGCCUGGGGAGUACGGCCGCAAGGUUAAAACUCAAAUGAAUUGACGGGGGCCCGCACAAGCGGUGGAGCAUGUGGUUUAAUUCGAUGCAACGCGAAGAACCUUACCUACUCUUGACAUCCAGAGAAGCCUGCAGAGAUGCGGGUGUGCCUUCGGGAGCUCUGAGACAGGUGCUGCAUGGCUGUCGUCAGCUCGUGUUGUGAAAUGUUGGGUUAAGUCCCGCAACGAGCGCAACCCUUAUCCUUUGUUGCCAGCACUUCGGGUGGGAACUCAAGGGAGACUGCCGGUGAUAAACCGGAGGAAGGUGGGGAUGACGUCAAGUCAUCAUGGCCCUUACGAGUAGGGCUACACACGUGCUACAAUGGCGUAUACAAAGAGAAGCGACCUCGCGAGAGCAAGCGGACCUCAUAAAGUACGUCGUAGUCCGGAUUGGAGUCUGCAACUCGACUCCAUGAAGUCGGAAUCGCUAGUAAUCGUAGAUCAGAAUGCUACGGUGAAUACGUUCCCGGGCCUUGUACACACCGCCCGUCACACCAUGGGAGUGGGUUGCAAAAGAAGUAGGUAGCUUAACCUUCGGGAGGGCGCUUACCAC
Molecule: ribosomal RNA, 1410 nt
Filed under: Dickeya chrysanthemi
Lineage: Bacteria; Pseudomonadati; Pseudomonadota; Gammaproteobacteria; Enterobacterales; Pectobacteriaceae
Description: 16S ribosomal RNA
Rfam family: Bacterial small subunit ribosomal RNA
Source: RNAcentral